AACGAACGCUGGCGGCAGGCCUAACACAUGCAAGUCGAACGCUCCAGCAAUGGAGAGUGGCAGACGGGUGAGUAACACGUGGGAACCUUCCCUAUGGUUCGGAAUAGCUCAGGGAAACUUGGGGUAAUACCGGAUAAGCCCUUCGGGGAAGAUUUAUCGCCAUUGGAUGGGCCGCGUCGGAUUAGCUAGUUGGUGAGGUAACGGCUCACCAAGGCAACGAUCCGUAGCUGGUCUGAGAGGAUGAUCAGCCACACUGGGACUGAGACACGGCCCAGACUCCUACGGGAGGCAGCAGUGGGGAAUAUUGGACAAUGGGCGCAAGCCUGAUCCAGCCAUGCCGC
Molecule: ribosomal RNA, 341 nt
Filed under: uncultured bacterium
Lineage: Bacteria
Description: bacterial SSU rRNA
Rfam family: Bacterial small subunit ribosomal RNA
Source: RNAcentral